UACAGAGGUCUCGAGCGUUGUUCGGAUUCAUUGGGCGUAAAGGGUGCGUAGGCUGUGACGCAAGUUGGAUGUGAAAUCCCGGGGCUUAACCCCGGAACUGCAUUCAAUACUGCGUUGCUAGAGUACUGGAGAGGAGAUUGGAAUUCACGGUGUAGCAGUGAAAUGCGUAGAUAUCGUGAGGAAGACCAGUGGCGAAGGCGAAUCUCUGGACAGUAACUGACGCUGAGGCACGAAGGCCAGGGGAG
This 245-nucleotide ribosomal RNA is filed under the name uncultured bacterium. RNAcentral describes it as "partial 16S ribosomal RNA". It matches the Rfam family "Bacterial small subunit ribosomal RNA", at positions 524 to 768 of the family's 1533-position model. The record is from RNAcentral.